UCUAACUGAUGCCGUGGCUAUGCAGAAC
RNAcentral lists this non-coding RNA (28 nucleotides) under Mus musculus (house mouse). The record is from RNAcentral. Lineage: Eukaryota; Metazoa; Chordata; Mammalia; Rodentia; Muridae.